AUGCUUAAACUUGUGCUAAAACUCAACCUCAACUUGAAGAACUUAAAACUGCUACUUUUGCUUGUUGAGGGUCUAAUCACCCCCCCUCUAGACACCUCUUCUCAAUCUCCAUUGCUUUGGUUUAAUCACCAUUGGAGGAAGAUGGAUGAGUCUACGAUGGGGAAGUUUAGACGUAGAGUGCCUAUGCUUGAUGGAGAGUUCUACAAUGCUUGGAAAAAUGAGAUGCUUGAGAUUUUCAAUGAAUAUCACUUGAACAAGUACAUUACUAGCCCUUGUGCACCCCUUAUUGAUCCCUUGCAUCCUACCCCUGAUGAGUCUCUUGACAUGAUCCGCAAUCUUAGAACUAUCAACCUUAUCAUUAGAGGACUGCCUAGAAAUUUGAUUGUAUGCUUGCCUACUCUUGAAUGUGCUUACACCGUAUGGAGAUUUCUUGAGGAACGGUUUCCAAACUAUUCCUUGAAAAAUCUAGAUGUGGUUCUUCAAAAGUCCAUAGAUUUUCAUAAAAUGAAACCUAGUGACCCUAAAUUUGAUGAUUGUCUAUUUGAGCUUCGUGACCUCAUGCGUGCCAAAGGAGAUGUUGGAGCCAUUAGUAGCAUUAUCUCUCAAGUCAUUAGAAUUCAUAAAGUUGCACAUUGCCAUGGUCAUACAUCUAAUGAAACACUCUCUCUAGGUGACGAUUCAUCACAAGACGAUGUUGAACGCGGAUACUAUGAUGAGGAUGAUGAUAGUGACUUUGAUCUCGAUGAGUCUAUGAGACACUUUGGUCUUAUGGCUAAUCUUCGCAGCUAUAUGGCUGGAGGAAAGGAAUGUGUUCUUGAUAGUGGAUGUACCGAUCACAUGACCGAAGACAAGGAUAUGUUUCAUGAGCUUGCUAAAAAUGACGGCCCUCGAAAUUAUGUCACUUUUGGUGAUAACUCAAAGGGUAAGGUGGUUGGCCUUGGUAAGGUGGCCAUCUCACAUGACAGCUCCAUCCAAAAUGUUAUGCUCGUUGAAUCUCUUGGCUAUAAUUUACUUUCCGUAUCUUGA
This 1026-nucleotide ribosomal RNA is filed under the name Triticum aestivum (bread wheat). RNAcentral describes it as "partial small subunit ribosomal RNA". The record is from RNAcentral. Lineage: Eukaryota; Viridiplantae; Streptophyta; Magnoliopsida; Poales; Poaceae.